This 910-nucleotide ribosomal RNA is filed under the name uncultured crenarchaeote. Its description in RNAcentral is "bacterial SSU rRNA". It matches the Rfam family "Archaeal small subunit ribosomal RNA", at positions 1 to 922 of the family's 1478-position model. The record is from RNAcentral. Lineage: Archaea; Thermoproteati; Thermoproteota.
UUCCGGUUGAUCCUGCCGGACCUGACUGCUAUCGGAUUGAUACUAAGCCAUGCGAGUUUUUGUAGCAAUACAAGGCAUACGGCUCAGUAACGCGUAGUCAAUCUAACCUAUGGACGAGGAUAACCUCGGGAAACUGAGAAUAAUACUCGAUAGAUCAUUAUGCCUGGAACGGUUUAUGGUUAAAAUGAAUUUCGCCAUAGGAUGGGACUGGGUCUAUCAGCUUGUUGGUGAUGUAAUGGACCACCAAGGCUAUAACAGAUACGGGCUCUGAGAGGAGAAGCCCGGAGAUGGGUACUGAAACACGGACCCAGGCCCUAUGGGGCGCAGCAGGCGAGAAAACUUUGCAAUGUGCGAAAGCACGACAAGGUUAAUCCGAGUGAUUCCUGCUAAAGGAAUCUUUUGUUAGUCAUAAUACCACUAAUGAAUAAGGGGUGGGCAAGUUCUGGUGUCAGCCGCCGCGGUAAAACCGCACCUCAAGUGGUCAGGAUGAUUAUUGGGCCUAAAGCAUCCGUAGCCGGCUCUGUUAGUUUUCGGUUAAAUCUAUAUGCUCAACAUAUAGGCCGCCGGGAAUACUACAAAGCUAGGGAGUGGGAGAGGUAGACGGUACUCCGUAGGAAGGGGUAAAAUCCUUUGAUCUAUGGAUGACCACCAGUGGCGAAGGCGGUCUACCAGAACACGUUCGACGGUGAGGGAUGAAAGCUGGGGGAGCAAACCGGAUUAGAUACCGGGUAGUCCCAGCUGUAAACUAUGCAAACUCAGUGAUGCAUUGGCUUGUGGCCAGUGCAGUGCCGCAGAGAAGUCGUUAAGUUUGCCGCCUGGGAAGUACGUACGCAAGUAUGAAACUUAAAGGAAUUGGCGGGGGAGCACCACAAGGGGUGAAGCCUGCGGUUCAAUUGGAUUCAACGCCGGG